Molecule: ribosomal RNA, 250 nt
Filed under: uncultured bacterium
Lineage: Bacteria
Description: partial 16S ribosomal RNA
Rfam family: Bacterial small subunit ribosomal RNA
Source: RNAcentral
GACGAACCGUACGAACGUUAUUCGGAAUUACUGGGCUUAAAGGGUUUGUAGGCGGCCUUGUAAGUGGGGUGUGAAAUCCCUCGGCUCAACCGAGGAAUGGCGCUCCAUACUGCAAGGCUUGAGGGAGACAGGGGUAAGCGGAACUGAUGGUGGAGCGGUGAAAUGCGUUGAUAUCAUCAGGAACACCGGUGGCGAAAGCGGCUUACUGGGUCUCUUCUGACGCUGAGGAACGAAAGCUAGGGGAGCGAAC